UUUCAGAGUUUCUAGAGCAGACACAGAGCUCACAACAGGCUUCAGGCGCCAUUUUAGUGACUUUAACAAUAUAUUAAAUUUUAAUUUCGGUCUAGCUGACAUUAGGUUAUGUACGCAGCACGCAAUUGAACCACAUAUUUUAGAAGCCAAAGGUUCAAAUUAGCUGGGAGCAGCUUCACUUAAUUAUAACAGUGGUUUUGUUAGGAAAACAGUUUCUGUAUACCGGAUACUAAAUUGCGCUGACGCUCAACGGCUAACGUAUCUAGCUAAUCGCUACUGUUAGCACAACAUCAACAGCAAGC
Long non-coding RNA from Haplochromis burtoni (Burton's mouthbrooder), 302 nucleotides. RefSeq lists it as uncharacterized. The record is from RefSeq and is a predicted model, not a curated record. The transcript has 2 exons. Lineage: Eukaryota; Metazoa; Chordata; Actinopteri; Cichliformes; Cichlidae.